Long non-coding RNA from Macrobrachium nipponense, 3160 nucleotides. RefSeq lists it as uncharacterized. The record is from RefSeq and is a predicted model, not a curated record. The transcript is spliced from 3 exons. Lineage: Eukaryota; Metazoa; Arthropoda; Malacostraca; Decapoda; Palaemonidae.
CAGCUGGCCAAGUCAACCGGGUCACAAGCCAUCCGGCUGUCACUGAAACUAGAUGCCUGACUGAAUACUCUGGAACUCUGGACUCUGGAGUCCGGAAGUUGGCCAAUAGCCAUGGUUAUUGCCUUAUUGGUUCUCCGUCGUCACACCUUCAUCAGAGGAUCCCUUGACUUGUGAAUGUGUACAUUUUUUCUCGAUUUUCAAGUUUCAGGUAACCACCAUGAGCCAGUUGUGCGUUGGAAUACCAGGAAUUUAGCAAGUGCCAUGCUGGAUCUCUGGUUCUGUCAACAAACAAGUUUGUUAGUGUAUAUAGUCGCCGCUUGAAAUUGUAAAGAAAACUACUGAUGUAAUGUAAGCCAGGCCUCAGCCUAUGAUGGUUGUGAGUUAGGGGCCAAAUGUAAUGAUGUGAAUGUGUAAUUGAGUGACAGACUAAAUUGCACCCAAAUUUCAUAGUUUGAGCAAAAGUGCUGCAAAAAAAUAAUUAAAGUUAAAAAGGUACAAUCGAACAAGCCAUCAGCAAUUCCAAUAUCUUAAAGCUUCGACUAGUUCUCUCCAUUCUUCAGUCUUGCGCUCUUCUGAUCUGGUCCACGUCUCCAUCUAUGCCUUUUCACCUCCAUUGUCUUGACUUUCUUAAUGGGUUUCAUCUUAAUAUUAUAUGACCUAUUACACUUUUGACUUAGUUUUUCAGUAGUACAUACACCACAAUUUUUAUCCAGCCUCUGCAUACUGCAUACAGCUGCAACUUCAUUUAUUAUAAUGUUCCCUUAGUCCCGCAGCUUCAGUCAUACCACUCUGUCCUGGCUGGUUUUUUUUUUUUUCUCUGUCCUCUUGAAUCCUACUUCACAUUCUAGAAUAGCCUUAAGGUAACGGUAACACAUGAUCUGCUUCUUCUAAGACCUCUCUUUCAAUGACAAGGUUCUCCUGCCUUUCAUUUUAAUUCAUACACAUUUUGAGAUUCAAAAAACCUUUUCACUGUUUUACAACUCUGAUGAUCUCUCCGGCCACCGUGUUAAAAUUGAUGUUUGCUGUAGAGGUAAUUCCAUAUUCUCCACAGCCAUUGUCCUGCCUGUACGUUUUCAUUUGCUUCCUCACUAGUCGCCAUACAUUUUAUUUUGCCUACAUUGAUUUUCAGUUCUCGUCUGUUUCAUUGGUUAACUGCCAUCUUAUACACACAAACCAUUUACUUUGGCUGUACAGGUGAUAGAUCAUCUAUCUACACAUAGCAGCUUCUAAGUGCCUUUUUACAUUUUUUUGAAGUUUACUUUAUUGUGAUGGUAAAGGAAAGCUGAAUUUUUAUAGGAUAAAAAAAUUCUUACAGGUCACUUGCCUUUACUCUACAGCUUGUGUUAUAAUAAUAGACAUUUCAGCCCUUUAUUGGUUAAAAAGCCUGUAUGUAUUAACAAGAACAAAAUAGUUUUUUGUUUAUAAAGGCUACAUAGCAUCUAAAGGCCUGUCCACACGAGCGGGCCUGAUCGGCAUGCUCCGGGGUUGACGGGCAAAUUCUGGCGGGCUUUCACGUGAAUGUUGUCCACACAGGUUAGGCGAGGAGAGGUGGGCGUGCCCGACGAUACCAGUAGUGUGUUCAGUGCGGUAUGAUUACCAUGGUGGCUACCGCAAAGAGGAAGAUAUUGUGUAGCAUGAUAAUUGCUUUGUGUCUAAUGAAAAAAAAAAGAAGAGAAUAUGGUGCAAAGAAUGGCUCACUAAAAGACAUGUAUAUGGCAGCCACACAACCAUACUACAGGAACUACAAGAUGGCCACGAAAAAGAUUUCAGAGACUAUUUGAGAAUGAGCAUAAGCACGUUUUAUACUUUACUAGUAAAGCUGGAGUCAUACAUUAUGAAAAAAGACACACACACGAGACUGAGUAUAACAACAGGAGGUCGUUUGGAGGCAACGCUAAGAUUUUUGGCAACAGGAUGUACAUAUUCAGCACUGCAGUAUUCUACACGUAUAUCCAAACAAAGCUUGUCACACACAAUCCCAGAAACAUGUCGGGCCAUAUAUGAGGUACUAAAGGAUGACUACUUGCAGACACCUACCACACCAGACGAGUGGAUGCGUGUGGCACGUGGGUUCGAAACACGGUGGAACUUCCCCAACUGUAUUGGAGCCAUUGAUGGAAAGCAUAUCCUAAUAACGCCUCCACAGGGCAGGGGCUCAUAUUACUAUAAUUAUAAAGGUACCCACAGCAUCAUACUCAUGGCCAUAACUGAUGCCAAUUGCGAGUUUCUUUAUGUUGAUAUUGGCUGCAAUGGGCCGGUGUCAGACGGCGGUGUGUGGGACAAUACACAUAUCAGUAGUUGUAUUGCCACAGAAACAGCAGGUCUCCCUAGUGACAGAAAGCCCAAAGGAAGUGAGAGGAGGCUACUGUAUGUGUUUGUGGCUGACAACACCUUCCCCUUGCAACGGCACAUUAUGAAACCGUUCUCACACCGCACCCAAAGUAAUAGGGAAUGCAUUUUUUCCUAUCGGUUAUAUAGGGCUCGACGUACAGUUGAGAAUGCUUUUGGGAUAUUGGCCAACCGAUUUAGAGUUUUCCUGACAACUAUAUACUUGUCGCCAAGCAAAGUUGAAAUGAUGGUAUUAGCAUGCAUUGCUUUGCAUAAUUUUCUCAGACGUGAGCAUGUCACACAAUAUAUGCCUGAAGGGUUUGGAUUCUGAAGACAUUGCAAGGUGUACAAUUAUCCCUGGUGGUUGGCGUGAAACUCCCCACGUGUUACGAUUGCAAAGAACAGGAGGCAAUACAAGUACAGCCGGCCAAACUGUACGCCAUAUAUUUAUGGAGUAUUUCAAUGAUGAAGGUGCUGUGCCAUGGCAAUACAAAGCUAUACAAAUCCAAUAAUUAGAUACCAUUCCAUAUUCCUGGAAUGUAUUACUUAUCAGUGUCUCAGUACAUUUGGUGCAUAAUGUAGGUUUCAUGUAUCACUUUUCCUUAUUAUCAGUGUCUCAGUACAGGAUGAUAGGUACUGUGUUAUAAACUGUAUAUGCAGAGGUUUUGAUUAUUAACGGUUUAAUUUUUUUUAUUUCAUUUACGUUGUCAUUUAUAUAAUAUUUUGUAUCAUAUUACAUGUAUUGUGUUUUGUAAUAAACACAAUAACAAAUAUGUAUUACACAAUACAAUGUUUUGAGUUAUUUUCCUAGUAACUAAACUCUACACACUUU